RNAcentral lists this ribosomal RNA (301 nucleotides) under uncultured bacterium. RNAcentral describes it as "partial 16S ribosomal RNA". It matches the Rfam family "Bacterial small subunit ribosomal RNA", at positions 509 to 809 of the family's 1533-position model. The record is from RNAcentral.
CAGCAGCCGCGGUAAUACGAAGGGGGCUAGCGUUGUUCGGAAUUACUGGGCGUAAAGCGCACGUAGGCGGAUAUUUAAGUCAGGGGUGAAAUCCCGCAGCUCAACUGCGGAACUGCCUUUGAUACUGGGUAUCUUGAGUAUGGAAGAGGUUAGUGGAAUUGCGAGUGUAGAGGUGAAAUUCGUAGAUAUUCGCAGGAACACCAGUGGCGAAGGCGGCUAACUGGUCCAUAACUGACGCUGAGGUGCGAAAGCGUGGGGAGCAAACAGGAUUAGAUACCCGUGUAGUCCCUGUCUCUUAUAU